AUACGUAGGGGGCGAGCGUUAUCCGGAAUUACUGGGCGUAAAGCGUGCGUAGGUGGUUGUUUAAGUCUGUCGUGAAAGCCCUGGGCUCAACCUGGGAAUGGCGAUGGAAACUGGGCGACUAGAGUGUGGCAGAGGGUAGUGGAAUUCCUGGUGUAGCAGUGAAAUGCGUAGAGAUCAGGAGGAACAUCCGUGGCGAAGGCGACUGCCUGGGCCAACACUGACACUGAGGCACGAAAGCGUGGGGAGCAAACAGGAUUAGAUACCCUGGUAGUCCACGCCCUAAACGAUGCGAACUGGAUGUUGGGUGCAAUUUGGCACGCAGUAUCGAAGCUAACGCGUUAAGUUCGCCGCCUGGGGAGUACGGUCGCAAGACUGAAACUCAAAUGAAUUGACGGGG
Molecule: ribosomal RNA, 397 nt
Filed under: uncultured bacterium
Lineage: Bacteria
Description: partial 16S ribosomal RNA
Rfam family: Bacterial small subunit ribosomal RNA
Source: RNAcentral